UGUACUAUCUAUGCAACUCUCCUAUAAAUACAAAAGUAUUUCAAAAUAGAAAAGUCUAAGGAUUUUUCCUUCUGCAAAGGUUUUAUAGUAUGUAGCUCUUCAAGUGUCCCUAUAAUUGACAAUUGCCUGAAGAAAUCAAAGUCCAAACCAUGACAUGUGUGCUACUGUCUCAAUGCACCAUUAUUGACACCAUUUCCCAAUGCUAAGGAUGGCUUCUGGGGAAAACGACAUCUCGAGGUUCUUCAAACCUACUUCGGGUUAACCAUGAGGCCCAUCAGUGAUCCUUCUGCGACAAGAUCACCAAACAUUUUCCCUAUGUAUUUAACACAGGUCAAUGCUUAUUUUUCUGCAGGUACUAACCUCUGUUCUGUGGCUGCCAAACAGGCUUGUCUCCAGGAUUCAUCUCUCCUAAUUAAGAAGCAGAAUCAGAGGGAAGAAAAUGGGCCCGCCCCCCCCCCCCAGUUCCUCCUCCAGCCUUUUCACUCCUGAUGAUCCUCCAUCUGCAAAGGCUUCUGAGUUGCAAUCCAGGGAACCUUGUAAAAUAUCUUCUACUCAUUUACUUAAGCUGAAAGUAUGUUCAUGUGUCAAAUCCCUGGAGAAUGUCCUGUCUUUAUCUCUUGUGUUCAAACUAUAUUUUGUGAAUAAUGUACAGAGCUUAUUAAAUGGUGAUUAGGUCAUUCUCUAUUUGGACUUUAAAAGACAUUUUCUCUGAUAGAUGCACUAGCUCUUCCUCUGCCAUUUCCCUCAAAACUUUCUCUAACAUUAAGGAAGAUGCUAACGUUAAAGAAGAAUUGGGAUCUGUUAAGUCUACACCACUCGGACUAAAUUAUCACAUAUUUUUGCUCUGUUUUACAUAUGGUUGUACACAAGACUCCACCAGCACGAAAGUAGCCAGCAUUAUUAAGCAAGACGCGUGAAAUAAGAACAGGGCAAAGGCCAUCUGAUGACCCACCAAGAAUAAGGCCAUCUCUACACCAGAAAGAGAGCUUUCACUAGAAACGAGCCCUGGCACUUUGGUCUUGGACCCUGGCCUCCAUAACUGUGAGAAGAUAAACGUCUGUCAGUUAAGCCACCCAGCCUGUGACAUUUUGUUACGGCAACGCAAGUAGACUAAUAAACACUCGUGUAUAAAUA
This is a long non-coding RNA of Suricata suricatta (meerkat), 1134 nucleotides long. RefSeq lists it as uncharacterized. The transcript has 4 exons. The record is from RefSeq and is a predicted model, not a curated record. Lineage: Eukaryota; Metazoa; Chordata; Mammalia; Carnivora; Herpestidae.